This 774-nucleotide ribosomal RNA is filed under the name uncultured Neocallimastigales. RNAcentral's name for it is "partial large subunit ribosomal RNA". It matches the Rfam family "Eukaryotic large subunit ribosomal RNA", at positions 23 to 649 of the family's 3401-position model. Lineage: Eukaryota; Fungi; Neocallimastigomycota; Neocallimastigomycetes; Neocallimastigales. The record is from RNAcentral.
AGAGAUGUGUGAUGACGCAUAUCAAUAAGCGGAGGAAAAGAAACUAACUAGGAUUCCCUUAGUAACGGCGAGUGAAGCGGGAAGAGCUCAAAUUUGAAAUCUUCAAGGUUCUACCUUGACGAAUUGUAGUUUAUAGAAGUGUUUUCUGUUAGUGGAGUGGCAAAAGUUCUUUGGAAUAGGACAUCAUAGAGGGUGAGAAUCCCGUAUUUGGUCAUUCCUCCUAGCGUUGUGAUACACUUUCAACGAGUCGGAUUGUUUGGGAAUGCAGUCCAAAAUGGGUGGUAAAUUUCAUCUAAAGCUAAAUAUUGGCGAGAGACCGAUAGCGAACAAGUACCGUGAGGGAAAGAUGAAAAGAACUUUGAAAAGAGAGUUAAACAGUACGUGAAAUUGUCAAAAGGGAAGCGUUUGACACCAGUGUUGUUUUUCCGAAAAUCAAUUACGAAUGUUUUGUUUUUGAGGAGUUAUGACUUCAUCGGCUUGCUCCUUUCUUUAUGAAACUUUCUUAAUGCACUUUUCGGUUAACAAGUCAACAUCAAUUUCUUUUGUUGUAAAAGGGUAUGAGGAAGGUGGCUUUCUUUUCGGAGAAAGUGUUUAUAGCCUUGUGCCUCUGCAAUCGGAGAGAUUGAGGUCUGCAGCGUAGAUCCUUCGGGGUUAGAUACGUUUGUGCUAAGUUAUAGCUUUUCAUAGACAACUUGUUGACUAUGUUUAGUCUUGUAGCUUACUCGCUUAUGCUAUUUUACCUACGCUUAGGAUGUUGAGUAGCGACAUACGCAC